Molecule: ribosomal RNA, 97 nt
Filed under: Thermosinus thermophiluss DSM 23256
Lineage: Bacteria; Bacillati; Bacillota; Negativicutes; Selenomonadales; Sporomusaceae
Description: Sporolituus thermophilus DSM 23256 23S rRNA. Bacterial LSU
Rfam family: Bacterial large subunit ribosomal RNA
Source: RNAcentral
UAAGGCCCCUUGUAGAAGACAAGGUAGAUAGGCCAGGAGUGUAAGGCGGGCAACCGCUUGAGCGGACUGGUACUAAUCGGCCGAGGGCUUGACCUAA